AACGCGAAGAACCUUACCAGGUCUUGACAUCCCUCUGAAUAUCCUAGAGAUAGGGUAGGCCUUCGGGACAGAGGAGACAGGUGGUGCAUGGUUGUCGUCAGCUCGUGUCGUGAGAUGUUGGGUUAAGUCCCGCAACGAGCGCAACCCUUGAUUUUAGUUGCCAGCACGUGAAGGUGGGCACUCUAAAAUGACUGCCGGUGACAAACCGGAGGAAGGCGGGGAUGACGUCAAAUCAUCAUGCCCCUUAUGACCUGGGCUACACACGUACUACAAUGGCCGGUACAACGGGAAGCGAAGCCGCGAGGUGGAGCGAAUCCUAAAAAGCCGGUCUCAGUUCGGAUUGCAGGCUGCAACUCGCCUGCAUGAAGUCGGAAUUGCUAGUAAUCGCGGAUCAGCAUGCCGCGGUGAAUACGUUCCCGGGCCUUGUACACACCGCGCAUA
RNAcentral lists this ribosomal RNA (441 nucleotides) under uncultured bacterium. RNAcentral's name for it is "bacterial SSU rRNA". It matches the Rfam family "Bacterial small subunit ribosomal RNA", at positions 958 to 1398 of the family's 1533-position model. The record is from RNAcentral.